Corapipo altera (White-ruffed manakin) is the source of this 1613-nucleotide RNA transcript. It is a transcript of the gene named family with sequence similarity 228 member B, with no coding region annotated. The record is from RefSeq and is a predicted model, not a curated record. The transcript has 7 exons. Lineage: Eukaryota; Metazoa; Chordata; Aves; Passeriformes; Pipridae.
CCGUGUCCGUGCCCGUGUCCGUGCCCACGUCCCACCUCCUCCCGGGAACAGGGUCCGGGUGCCCGCCCUGCGGCCGGGCUGCCCCAUCCCUGUCCCCGAGGGCGGUGCCUCCUCGUCCCGAGAGGCUGUGGGUAAUGGGAGAGAGGCUGUUUUCCUCGGCGGAAGGACACGGAGGAGUUCUACAACAACCGUGAGCGGAUUUACAGCAUCCCUACCCCAGAAGAACAAAACUUCGAGGGAAAGGAAAUCAGUUAAAGAUAGUGUGACCAAGGAGCCCAUGGUACCUGUGCAGAGAGGGCAGGGAAUCACUAUAGAGGAAGGACCUGCUGGGCUGCCACACUGCCAAGGCCAAUUCUUUUAACUGGAUGUUGCAAAAAAUAAUUGAAGAACAGAAUAUAUUUUCGUGAUUGAAAGAUCUGGCUGAAGACUUGAGAUUAUUCCAACCAUGCACAGUGUGAACAGCUCAGAGACUCCCUGGCUAAAAAUAAUGACACAUCUGAGACCUGUGAAAGAACCUGAUCAGCCACGGCCUUGGCAGGGCUACGUGUUUUUGGACUAUUUUGACCCAUCAGAGUAUGAUCCAUUCUCCCAGAAGACGUGCACAGACUGCUGGAAGAAUGAAAGUCAUCAAUCACCACAAUGACAGCGAGAGCCAAUGAUGUCACCCGUCCCCCAGCUGACCAGAGCAGCAAGCACAGCCAUCAGAAGGUACCCUUUGUAAAAUAGGUUACAUCUCCUGCCAAAGCAAGUGAUAACAGGCCAGGUCUUCUGGCAAGCUGCAAUAAACUUACUGUCUUGAACUUGGUUCUGAAGUGUUGUUACUCAGCAGCCAAAGAAAUGUCUGGGAUGCUGCUCCUGUUGUUGCCAGCUCCAGUUCAUGCUCUACAAGCCCAAAUCUGCUGUUUUAGGAGAUUUAACUUAGGCUCAGCUCAACAAAAACAGUGCUGGUGUUCUCUCCUGAACACAGUGCACAAGCAGUAAAUCAAACUUUUUAACAUACAUAUUAGGUGUUCUGAGAAAGCAGGAAAUAAGUAGGGGAGAGGAGAUGGGAAGUGCUUUUCAGAGAGUCUGUGCUGAGCAGCAGCUGAGCCAGUGCCCCAGUCUCUCUCCCGUUCCAGUGUGUCCCAUCUCCCCCCUGGUCUGGCUGCACAGCAACUCUGGUCUCAAAGCCUGGAAACAGAAUUUCCUCUAUUCUCCAAACUCUCACUGUACAGACACAAUCUCUCAAGAGUUGCCAAGACUGAGUUUUAUUUAGGAUUAGGAAUACUGAACCACAGAAAACUGUUAAAAGUAACAGAGGUUGACUCAGUAAGGAGGGUGCACAGAUGGUGACUGCAUGGGAAACUGCCAGACUUCAGGAGGAAUUGCUGCACCCGUGGAAAGGGCUGCUCAGAACGGCACACUGUGCUUCGCAACAAGGCAGUUUAAGGAGGCAGUAAAAUGGUUACAAUGUAUCAAACAUUUUAUAAACAAACUUUUUUUUUUAACCAUCCCUGAUUUGGUGCCAAGAGAAAGCUUUUGCUUUCAACCAGCUCUUUUUAACAGGUUUGUGUUGGGGUGUAGUUCCCCCCAAGCAAACCUCUUAAACUUGUAAUAAACUUUUCUUGAACGAA